RNAcentral lists this long non-coding RNA (1392 nucleotides) under Cricetulus griseus (Chinese hamster). RNAcentral describes it as "lncRNA (ENSCGRG00015029715.1)". The record is from RNAcentral. Lineage: Eukaryota; Metazoa; Chordata; Mammalia; Rodentia; Cricetidae.
AGUUUUUAACCAGCCACUGCAGGAUAGGAAGUAAUCCUGGAGGGGGUGCAAUCGCCAUUGACCACGACCGGCCACAGUGUGCUGUAUAGGAGUUAACUGAGACUGAUUAUGUAAAGUGCCUUACAUAGUGCCUGUUUACAUAGGGGGCAUCUCGUAAAUGUUAUCUCUUGUUAUCAUUUUGCCAAAGAAGACCUGUCAUGGUAGUUCUGAUGGUGAUUGCUACACACAGUUUCCUGAGUGCUAUGGUGGGUAUGACUGAAAAUGAAGGCGAUAAUCCACUUCCUGCCUUCUGAUGGGAUGCUGAACACGCAAUGGGUUGCAGGAUAGCCUAGCUUCCUUGAAUGCAUGGGCUUGCGGUUUAGACAAGUUUUGUGAAGUCAUUGUAUAGAUAUUGGCCAAGGCACACCGUUUGCAGGUGCUUCAUCUGAUGGCUCUGAGGCUGGGGCUUGUAGGUGUGUGUGGCACAUGCCCAUUUCAGCACCUACAUUCUCCCCGCAUUUCCAACACCUGACUUCUUCCCCCAGAGGCCAUUUCUGGUUCUUCCUCUUCUUCAGGCAAAUCCUCUCCUAUGCUAGGCCAUAUAUAUCAAGGGUAGUCAGGCUCUUGAGGAAUUUUCUGCUUACGUAAGGCAACAGUUAUGAUGCUUUCGAACAAAAUAGAGGGAACAAGCACUGUUGUGAUUGGAAGUCACAGAACAUGCCUUACAGUAUAAAAAAAAAAUACAAACUGAGAUUUGAAAGCAAAAUGGGAGUUUUCCAAGUCAAGUGAACUUAGGAAUCAGUAUAAUCCAUGGAAAGAAAGGCAUGUACUAAAAACAUGCCUCCCCACAGAUUAGUGGUUAUAAAGAUAGAUAGGUGAACCUGAAGUCUAAUUUCUGUUCUCCUGAUUAUUGGAAGUGCACUGAAAUCCAAUUUGACCUCCAGAAAGGCAUUGUUUGCCCUGAAUAUGGUACUUGCAUUGUCAGUCUGGGUGCUCUGAGGUCCAUGGACAAGCUGUAAACAGGUGCAUAUCUGGAACCCUGAUGAAUACUCACCAGGCCUGCCACCCUUCUCCUCUCACUAAUGGGGAUUCAGACUCUGGAACCGACGAUAUAAAGGUUUAUUUCUCUCUCCAUCUACCUCCUGCUGGAAGAUUCCCCCUUGUUGCUGGCCCAGUAAACUCCUACAAUUAUCACCCAGGUCUCAGCUCUGCUCACAAGUAGACCCAAUGUUUGAUGUGAAUCUUGCUCUCUCUCGAGAUCACAUGACACACUGGGUGCAACCUUGUGGUUGCUCACCUCCAUCGGGCAUUCAGUUCCCCAGCUGACUUCCUGUGUGAGUUGCUAAGAAGCAUUUAGCACCUGCACACCAAGCACGUGUUCAUGGACCAGGAAGCAGACCCAAAAUGUCUGAG